Molecule: non-coding RNA, 1029 nt
Organism: Lupinus albus (white lupine)
Lineage: Eukaryota; Viridiplantae; Streptophyta; Magnoliopsida; Fabales; Fabaceae
Source: the annotation of a GenBank genome assembly
GUUUCCGCUCACACCUAUUCACCCCCUAUAGGUGUCAUUUUUUCUAUGGCAUACCCAACAUAUCUCGUUUGGGGGAAGAGUGGUACUCAUUAAUUCAGUGCUUAUGAAUAUGUCUAUGUACAUGUUCUCCCUUUUUAAAGCUCUGAAUAUGGUAAUUUCAAAAUUGACCUCUUUACCAAGAAACUUUCUUUGGAGUAAUAGGUGAAGAUAAGGGUAUUCCCUGGGUUGCUUGGGCUGAGGUGUGUCAGCCAAAUAAAUUUGAUGGAUUGGGUGUCAAAGAUAUGUCUCGAUUUAAUGAUGUUCUCUUAGGAAAGUGGAAAUGGAGAAAACUGGUGGAGCCUGAUGCACUAUGGGUUAGAGUGUUCAACUCAAAGUAUGGAUACAUGGUUUGGUCAGAGUAGUCUAAAAGGUACAUUCCUGAGAAUAUAUAUGUUUGCUUUGGAGAAAUAAGUGGUUGUUACUGAUAAUGGAACGUGGACUAAUGGGAAGUGGAACUUAAACAUUCAGUGGAGGAUGAACUUAAUUGACUGGGAGGAGGAGUCUGUUAUAUAUCUCUAUGAGCUCAUUCAAAAUCACUCAUGCACUACUAAUAUGGCACCUAGAUAGAUCAGGCACCUAGAUAAAUGGAAAUUGCACCUACAUAGAUCAGGCAACUAUGUGGUGAAGACUACUUAUAUGGCACGGUUGAAUUCAUUAAUGCAUAUCCAUGUAAUCUUCUAAAUUUAUGUUGGAUAUUAAUUGUGCUCCUCCAAAGGUUUGUUGUUUAAUUUGGAAAGUUUUGAGAGGAAGAAUAGCAAUAAAGAUUGAGCUUCAUAAGAGGAAUAUAGUUGGGGUGGAUGACUUGAGUUGUGUGAUGUGUGCUGCAUGAUGAGCAUUCAGAUCAUCUGUUUUUAUCUUUCCCAUUUGUUUCCAAUGUGUGGAAUGGUUUCUACUCGUGGUUACAAAUUCAGAUGAUGUUUCUAAAUACAAUUGUGGAAUUGCUUCAGAUUCAUGAGUGUUUUUGUAAAAAGGGUAAAAAAAUAUUUUUGU